GAUGAACGCUAGCUACAGGCUUAACACAUGCAAGUCGAGGGGCAGCAUGGUCUUAGCUUGCUAAGGCCGAUGGCGACCGGCGCACGGGUGAGUAACACGUAUCCAACCUGCCGUCUACUCUUGGACAGCCUUCUGAAAGGAAGAUUAAUACAAGAUGGCAUCAUGAGUCCGCAUGUUCACAUGAUUAAAGGUAUUCCGGUAGACGAUGGGGAUGCGUUCCAUUAGAUAGUAGGCGGGGUAACGGCCCACCUAGUCUUCGAUGGAUAGGGGUUCUGAGAGGAAGGUCCCCCACAUUGGAACUGAGACACGGUCCAAAACUCCUACGGGGAGGCAGCAGUGAGGAAUAUUGGUCAAAUGGGCGAGAGCCUGAACCAGCCAAGUAGCGUGAAGGAUGACUGCCCUAUGGGUUGUAAACUUCUUUUAUAAAGGAAUAAAGUCGGGUAUGGAUACCCGUUUGCAUGUACUUAUGAAUAAGGAUCGGCUAACUCCGUGCCAG
This 496-nucleotide ribosomal RNA is filed under the name uncultured bacterium. RNAcentral describes it as "bacterial SSU rRNA". It matches the Rfam family "Bacterial small subunit ribosomal RNA", at positions 28 to 511 of the family's 1533-position model. The record is from RNAcentral.